This 253-nucleotide ribosomal RNA is filed under the name uncultured bacterium. RNAcentral describes it as "partial 16S ribosomal RNA". It matches the Rfam family "Bacterial small subunit ribosomal RNA", at positions 524 to 776 of the family's 1533-position model. RNAcentral also lists the same sequence under 1 other name. The record is from RNAcentral.
UACGUAGGGGGCGAGCGUUGUCCGGAUUUACUGGGCGUAAAGCGCGUGUAGGCGGUCGGCCAAGUCCGGGGUGAAAGGCGGGGGCUCAACCCCCGAACUGCGCUGGAAACUGGCUGGCUUGAGUGUCGGAGAGGGGAGUGGAAUUCUCGGUGUAGCGGUGAAAUGCGUAGAGAUCGAGAGGAACACCCGUGGCGAAGGCGGCUCCCUGGCCGAACACUGACGCUGAGACGCGAAAGCGCGGGGAGCGAACGGG